Molecule: ribosomal RNA, 484 nt
Filed under: uncultured bacterium
Lineage: Bacteria
Description: partial 16S ribosomal RNA
Rfam family: Bacterial small subunit ribosomal RNA
Source: RNAcentral
AUUGAACGCUGGCGGCAUGCUUUACACAUGCAAGUCGAACGGCCGCGCGGGCUUCGGCCUGGCGGCGAGUGGCGAACGGGUGAGUAAUGCAUCGGAACGUGCCCAGCCGUGGGGGCUAGCCCGGCGAAAGCCGGAUUAAUACCGCAUACGACCUGAGGGUGAAAGCGGGGGACCGACAGGCCUCGCGCUAUUUGCGCGGCCGAUGUCGGAUUAGCUAGUUGGUGGGGUAAAGGCUUACCAAGGCGACGAUCCGUAGCUGGUCUGAGAGGACGACCAGCCACACUGGAACUGAGACACGGCCCAGACUCCUACGGGAGGCAGCAGUGGGGAAUUUUGGACAAUGGGGGCAACCCUGAUCCAGCCAUGCCGCGUGCGGGAAGAAGGCCUUCGGGUUGUAAACCGCUUUUGUUCGGGAAGAAAUCCUCUGGGCUAAUACCCCGGGGGGAUGACGGUACCGGAAGAAUAAGCACCGGCUAACUACGUG